AGAGUAAAUCCAUCGAUCGCAGGAAACUGAGGAAAGUCUGCGCUCCACAGAGCAAGGGUGCCGGUGAGAGACCGGUGGAGGCGACUCUAAGGCUAGUGCAACAGAGAUAUACCGCCACACACGUGGUAAGGGUGGAAAGGUGAGGUAAGAGCUCACCAGAGGUAUAGAGAUAUACCUGCUAUGUAAACCCCACUCGGAGCAAGACCAAGUAGGAGUAAAAAGCGUUGCUCGCGCUUUCCGGGAAUGGUAGGUCGCUUGAACCAAUUGGUAACAGUUGGUCUAGAUAGAUGAUCGAAUAAACAGAACGCAGCUUAUAGAUUUACUUGACAG
This is a non-coding RNA of Peptoniphilus duerdenii ATCC BAA-1640, 330 nucleotides long. It matches the Rfam family "Bacterial RNase P class A". Rfam says of the family: Ribonuclease P (RNase P) is a ubiquitous endoribonuclease, found in archaea, bacteria and eukarya as well as chloroplasts and mitochondria. Lineage: Bacteria; Bacillati; Bacillota; Tissierellia; Tissierellales; Peptoniphilaceae. The record is from Rfam.